Molecule: ribosomal RNA, 486 nt
Filed under: uncultured bacterium
Lineage: Bacteria
Description: bacterial SSU rRNA
Rfam family: Bacterial small subunit ribosomal RNA
Source: RNAcentral
GAUGAACGCUAGCUACAGGCUUAACACAUGCAAGUCGAGGGGCAGCACAGUGUAGCAAUACACGGGUGGCGACCGGCGCACGGGUGCGUAACGCGUAUCCAACCUUCCCGUUACUCUUGGAUAGCCUUCCGAAAGGGAGAUUAAUACAAGAUGGUAUUCAAAUUCCGCAUGUUAUUUGAAUUAAAGAUUUAUCGGUAACGGAUGGGGAUGCGUGACAUUAGGUAGAUGGUGGGGUAACGGCCCACCUAGUCUACGAUGUCUAGGGGUUCUGAGAGGAAGGUCCCCCACACUGGAACUGAGACACGGUCCAGACUCCUACGGGAGGCAGCAGUGAGGAAUAUUGGUCAAUGGUCGGAAGACUGAACCAGCCAAGUAGCGUGAAGGAUGAAGGUUCUAUGGAUUGUAAACUUCUUUUAUACGGGAAUAAAACCUCCCACGUGUGGGAGCUUGUAUGUACCGUAUGAAUAAGCAUCGGCUAACUCCGUG